CAUUUGAUAUACAUCUUUUUAAAUUUUCAAAUCUGAUAGGUCCAAAAUAAUGGUUAGCAAUCUGUACUUCCCUGAUUACUAGAUAUAGUUGAUCUUCUUUUCAUAUCUUUAUAGACCAUUUGCAUUUCUUCUGUAAAUUGCCAAUUUCCUGACUGGGUUUAUCUUUUUCUCACAGGUUUGUAUAUUACGGAAAAUUAUUUAUGGUAAACAGAUGGUCCCAGUUGGCCACUUUUUUAAUGGCAUCAUUUGUCACAGAGAUGUUUCACAUUUUAAUAUAUUUAUUAUCUUUCAAACUUUUCCAUUCUGGCAUCUAAAUCUUAAAAGUAGCUUAGAAAGGCCUUCCUCAUCUGAUGGUUAUUAAAAAUAUUGUAGACUCAAAUUGGUUUACCCUAUGUGCUAUUUCUCCUCUUUCCUCCCAGGGCUGACUGAUCCAAGCACAGUCAUACCUGACUCAUAAUGGGCCAAUCAGAUUCUCUCCCAGGAUUCUGAAAACUAGGGAGAAGCAGGGGCUUUCCUAGAAGGCCCCCAAAGCCACCAAGGUUAACAUGGAAACAAGGAAAAGUAAACAAACACAGCCACAGAUGCACACGGUUGCCAAGGACUGUGAGCAGAGGAAAUAGAUGAAUACUGUACACUGUGUAAAAGGAACAACAGAUAUAAGAUAAGUGGAAAGGGAAAAAUGGAACAGAAGAAAUAUUUGAAGAAGAGACGAAGGCUGAAAAUUCUCCAAAACUAAAGAAAAACAUCAAACCACAGAUCCAAGAAGCCCUAAAACCCCUGAAGCAGAUAAAUAAAAAGGAAAUCCUUAUCUAGA
Callithrix jacchus (white-tufted-ear marmoset) is the source of this 814-nucleotide long non-coding RNA. RefSeq lists it as uncharacterized. NCBI's taxonomy places the organism in Eukaryota, Metazoa, Chordata, Mammalia, Primates, Cebidae. The record is from RefSeq and is a predicted model, not a curated record.